UUUCUACUCCCUCCGUUCGGAAUUACUUGUCGCAGAAAUGGAUGUAUCGAGACGUAUUUUAGUUCUAGAUACAUCCAUUUCCGAGACAAGUAAUUCCGAACGGAGGGAGUAGUUU
Non-coding RNA from Triticum aestivum (bread wheat), 115 nucleotides. NCBI's taxonomy places the organism in Eukaryota, Viridiplantae, Streptophyta, Magnoliopsida, Poales, Poaceae. The record is from Rfam.